Molecule: non-coding RNA, 901 nt
Organism: Drosophila melanogaster (fruit fly)
Lineage: Eukaryota; Metazoa; Arthropoda; Insecta; Diptera; Drosophilidae
Source: Ensembl
GAUUUUUUCAAUAAAUGUCUAAGCGAGGAAACGUUUUCCGACCCAUCGGCCUGCUGGACAGGAUUGGAAAGGUCUGCGAGAAGGUGAUUGCGACGAAGCUCGACGAAGCAAUAGCGGCAGCAGGGGGAUUUUCUUCGAACCAGUACGGAUUCCGGAAAGAAUUGUUGACGCUGGACGCGAUCUCCACGGUCACCAACGCCGCCAGAGUCAUUCCAGAUUGAAGGAGUCGCUAAGGAUUUGGCCGACACUAAAGCGAUCGAAGCUGCUGCGACAUGCGCGGCGUCGAAGCGACCUACUAACUAACUAACUAACUGGUGCGGUCAGGACAGCCUGUGCUUUUCGCAGAAUAUCGGACAAUGCCGCUAUAGUCAGCGCUGGGCAGGUUCCCUUUGGAGAUCUAGUGCAGAAAGGCAAAGGGCGUCACCCGCGAAGGAGGCCAAAAAGGACGACAGGGUACGUAGGCUAGACAACAGGAAAACCGUAUGGGACAACUCUUCCAAGAACGAUGGACCCACAGGCUGGUCCCAAAAGUGGAGCCCUGAGUUAACAGAAGCACGGCCAGGUAGACUUUACCCAAGUGUUGAAGGGGCACGGCUGCUUUCGGGGAUACCUCAAGAGCCUCGGGAACGACACAGUCGACGGCUACCAGCAGUGCGUCGAAGGGAUGUAGAGGAUGCCUAUCGCGUCAUCUUUGAAUGUUAUCGUUUUCACCACGAGCGUCUAGCGCUGGAUGCGAUGGCAUUACAUCGCGAACCGGGCCGAAUAUUCUGCUAACCAAAAAAUGUAACGAUGCCAGGAAAAUUGUGAACGUCUGCAAAGGGUUAUGAUAUAUUUUUAGAAAUCAUGAGCACAAAAGAGUUAAAUAAAACAAUUAUUAGUGUGAAAUUAAAUUUUUGAAAAU